GUGGGGAAUUUUGGACAAUGGGCGCAAGCCUGAUCCAGCAAUGCCGCGUGCAGGAAGAAGGCCUUCGGGUUGUAAACUGCUUUUGUACGGAACGAAACGGCUCUGGUUAAUACCUGGGGCUAAUGACGGUACCGUAAGAAUAAGCACCGGCUAACUACGUGCCAGCAGCCGCGGUAAUACGUAGGGUGCAAGCGUUAAUCGGAAUUACUGGGCGUAAAGCGUGCGCAGGCGGUUUUGUAAGACAGGCGUGAAAUCCCCGGGCUCAACCUGGGAAUUGCGCUUGUGACUGCAAGGCUGGAGUGCGGCAGAGGGGGAUGGAAUUCCGCGUGUAGCAGUGAAAUGCGUAGAUAUGCGGAGGAACACCGAUGGCGAAGGCAAUCCCCUGGGCCUGCACUGACGCUCAUGCACGAAAGCGUGGGGAGCAAACAGGAUUAGAAACCCUUGUAGUCC
Molecule: ribosomal RNA, 450 nt
Filed under: uncultured bacterium
Lineage: Bacteria
Description: bacterial SSU rRNA
Rfam family: Bacterial small subunit ribosomal RNA
Source: RNAcentral